GAAAAAGCCCUUUUCAGGGCUACCGAAAAAUAUGUUGUCGAAUUCAU
This is a non-coding RNA of Picea glauca (white spruce), 47 nucleotides long. Lineage: Eukaryota; Viridiplantae; Streptophyta; Pinopsida; Pinales; Pinaceae. The record is from Rfam.